Non-coding RNA from Heterocephalus glaber (naked mole-rat), 1106 nucleotides. Lineage: Eukaryota; Metazoa; Chordata; Mammalia; Rodentia; Bathyergidae. The record is from RefSeq and is a predicted model, not a curated record.
UUGCUGAUGAGUUUGCACUCUUGAAAGACUAAAAGUGGCAGAGAGCUCCCUGGACUCUCAUUGCCUAGGAGAAACAUGGCUGGACUAGAAAACUGGCUGGAAUAGAUGCACUGGGAAAAAUAAUGAGUUCUUAUCCUUGACAAGAGAAGAGAUUUCAAAACCUACAAGAAAGAUCUCUCCUAAAAUAUUUGAAAUAAGAAGUAAAUUAAAACUAGCUGAAACUCAAACAUAAUCCCAACCCAGUUGAACUCCUGUUUGGACUGAAGAAGUUAUUUUCUUAUAUCAGUUGUCAAAUGUUUAGUUCUCAUGUGUGAAUGUGGCGUGGAAAAAAGUGCUUGAAUUUAAUGCGCCAUUAUACGUCAAAAUAACUGAAGACUUCUGCAUUGUUGGAUUUCAGUGACACUUUUUCUCAGAGAGGGGCACUGUAACUGAGUACUUUACUGCCCAAUAGCAGGUUGAAUUUCCCAGCCCUGCUGACAUCUAGGAGAGGCCAUGGGACUAAACUUCUACCAAUGGCAAGUUCUCUCCAUAUGGUAACACUCACUUUUAGUUGACUAUUGUUUUUAAUAACCAGCUAUUCUCCCUUGGACCAAAAGAAUAUUGCCAUGCUGUAUACACAGAGAUGGAGAAUUCAAGUUGGUAGCUUCAAGAAACUACACCAGCUUUCUUCUCGCUUCUUCUUUUAAUCCCAUUGUUGAUGCCUGUGAUGAACAAAGUGAAUCAUACAGCAAAGACAUCUGAGCCUGUGAGGAACUGGUACUCUGACAACUGAGACAUGGAGGAUGAGACUUCAGAAUCCCCAGACAUAAGAGGAGCCAAUGAAUUCCAAGUAGAUGAAUUAAGUGAGCCUCUUUUAGGAUCAAGAAUCUCCAUUGCUGCUGAACAUGAUGUAUGAAAUCCUGCCCGCCUCACGCACGGAGUAAGGAAAAAAGUGGAGCUAGGUGGAGAAACAGCAAUAAAGUGCAUGGAAACUUCUGCAGACUCAACUGGCAAACUGAUCCUUCAUGAAGACUCAAGGGCAAGGGGUUUCUAUCCCUUUUUUAAUUCUUCCAGUUUACUCAUUUCCCCUGUAUGUGACUUAUUUCCUGAGGCAGCCAGGAGGCACA